CAGCAGCCGCCGCGGGAAUACGUAGGUGGCAAGCGUUGUCCGGAAUUAUUGGGCGUAAAGGGCUCGCAGGCGGUUUCUUAAGUCUGAUGUGAAAGCCCCCGGCUCAACCGGGGAGGGUCACUGGAAACUGGGAAACUUGAGUGCAGAAGAGGAGAGUGGAAUUCCACGUGUAGCGGUGAAAUGCGUAGAGAUGUGGAGGAAUACCAGUGGCGAAGGCGACUCUCUGGUCUGUAACUGACGCUGAGGAGCGAAAGCGUGGGGAGCGAACAGGAUUAGAUACCCCAGUAGUCCCUGUCUCUUAUAC
Molecule: ribosomal RNA, 304 nt
Filed under: uncultured bacterium
Lineage: Bacteria
Description: partial 16S ribosomal RNA
Rfam family: Bacterial small subunit ribosomal RNA
Source: RNAcentral